AAGAGCCAUCUCCAGAUGUAUAGAACAGUGAAGAGCACUGACAGAGAAGGACAAGGAGGGAAUGGUCGAGGUGCUGAAAUGGGGAUGAAUAAUGCUGCUUCUCAGUGGAGUGGAAGAGAGGUGGAAGCAGAAGAAGUGGAGGGAGGAGUACUAUUGCAGGGGCAAUAUGAUCAGAUCAGCACCCAUUGCUAUGCCUUACCAACAACAACACCACCACCACUGUCCAACUCUUCAAGGUUGAUUAUGACCGAAUGAGUGCCAUAGAUAGAUAGCAUUAUUAUCAUGAUGAGUAAACUUUGUCUUGUUAUUUAUUGUCAGCAGUGGGUUGCGUCCAUCUUUGGAGAGGACUGCUUGGAACCCAUCAAUCAGACUAAAUAAUGCAUUAUCAUAUCCUUACUUCAGAGGGGAUCAUUUGCUGCACAGUGACAGCCAGAUGGAAGAUCAACCAAACAUCAAUCCUUUUCCUGUUGCAGCUGAUGGAGGGAGGGCACCUCCUAACCUUGAGAUAACAUUAGGCAGAUAAAAUUGGCAAAUGCAGCUUUUCAGUGUCCCAGUUUAUGAAGUUUUAGUUGG
Molecule: long non-coding RNA, 573 nt
Organism: Zingiber officinale
Lineage: Eukaryota; Viridiplantae; Streptophyta; Magnoliopsida; Zingiberales; Zingiberaceae
Exons: 4
Source: RefSeq, a predicted model, not a curated record